Molecule: ribosomal RNA, 433 nt
Filed under: uncultured bacterium
Lineage: Bacteria
Description: partial 16S ribosomal RNA
Rfam family: Bacterial small subunit ribosomal RNA
Source: RNAcentral
AACGAACGCUGGCGGCAUGCCUAACACAUGCAAGUCGAACGAGACCUUCGGGUCUAGUGGCGCACGGGUGCGUAACGCGUGGGAACCUGCCCUUAGGUUCGGGAUAACUCCCCGAAAGGGGUGCUAAUACCGGAUAAUGUCUUCGGACCAAAGAUUUAUCGCCUUUGGAUGGGCCCGCGUUGGAUUAGCUAGUUGGUAGGGUAAAAGCCUACCAAGGCGACGAUCCAUAGCUGGUCUGAGAGGAUGAUCAGCCACACUGGGACUGAGACACGGCCCAGACUCCUACGGGAGGCAGCAGUGGGGAAUAUUGGACAAUGGGCGAAAGCCUGAUCCAGCAAUGCCGCGUGAGUGAUGAAGGCCUUAGGGUUGUAAAGCUCUUUUACCCGGGAUGAUAAUGACAGUACCGGGAGAAUAAGCCCCGGCUAACUCCGUG